AUUGAACGCUGGCGGCAGGCCUAACACAUGCAAGUCGAGCGGAUGAAGGGGGCUUGCUCCUGGAUUCAGCGGCGGACGGGUGAGUAAUGCCUAGGAAUCUGCCUGGUAGUGGGGGAUAACGUCCGGAAACGGGCGCUAAUACCGCAUACGUCCUGAGGGAGAAAGUGGGGGAUCUUCGGACCUCACGCUAUCAUAUUAGCCUAGGUCGGAUUAGCUAGUUGGUGGGGUAAAGGCCUACCAAGGCUACGAUCCGUAACUGGUCUGAGAGGAUGAUAAGUCAAAGUGGAAGUGAGAAAAGGUCCAGAAUCGUACGGGAGGCAGCAGUGGGGAAAAUUGGAAAAGGGGCGAAAGCCUGAACCAGACAUGCCGCGUGGGUGAAGAAGGUCUUCGGAUUGUAAAGAACUUUAAGUUGGGAGGAAGGGAAGUAAGUUAAUACCUUGCUGUUUUGACGUAACCAACAGAAUAAGCACCGGCUAACUUCGU
Molecule: ribosomal RNA, 483 nt
Filed under: uncultured bacterium
Lineage: Bacteria
Description: partial 16S ribosomal RNA
Rfam family: Bacterial small subunit ribosomal RNA
Source: RNAcentral